This 1089-nucleotide ribosomal RNA is filed under the name Cuban sugarcane Ja60-5 yellow leaf phytoplasma. RNAcentral's name for it is "bacterial SSU rRNA". It matches the Rfam family "Bacterial small subunit ribosomal RNA", at positions 214 to 1311 of the family's 1533-position model. The record is from RNAcentral. Lineage: Bacteria; Bacillati; Mycoplasmatota; Mollicutes; Acholeplasmatales; Acholeplasmataceae.
UAUGCUUAAGGAGGGGCUUGCGACACAUUAGUUAGUUGGUAGGGUAAAGGCCUACCAAGACUAUGAUGUGUAGCUGGACUGAGAGGUUGAACAGCCACAUUGGGACUGAGACACGGCCCAAACUCCUACGGGAGGCAGCAGUAGGGAAUUUUCGGCAAUGGAGGAAACUCUGACCGAGCAACGCCGCGUGAACGAUGAAGUACCUCGGUAUGUAAAGUUCUUUUAUUAAGGAAGAAAAAAGAGUGGAAAAACUCCCUUGACGGUACUUAAUGAAUAAGCCCCGGCUAAUUAUGUGCCAGCAGCCGCGGUAAUACAUAAGGGGCGAGCGUUAUCCGGAAUUAUUGGGCGUAAAGGGUGCGUAGGCGGUUUAAUAAGUCUAUAGUUUAAUUUCAGUGCUUAACGCUGUUGUGCUAUAGAAACUGUUUUACUAGAGUGAGAUAGAGGCAAGCGGAAUUCCAUGUGUAGCGGUAAAAUGCGUAAAUAUAUGGAGGAACACCAGAGGCGUAGGCGGCUUGCUGGGUCUUUACUGACGCUGAGGCACGAAAGCGUGGGGAGCAAACAGGAUUAGAUACCCUGGUAGUCCACGCCGUAAACGAUGAGUACUAAGUGUCGGGUAAAACUGGUACUGAAGUUAACACAUUAAGUACUCCGCCUGAGUAGUACGUACGCAAGUAUGAAACUUAAAGGAAUUGACGGGACUCCGCACAAGCGGUGGAUCAUGUUGUUUAAUUCGAAGAUACACGAAAAACCUUACCAGGUCUUGACAUUUUCUUGCGAAGUUAUAGAAAUAUAAUGGAGGUCAUCAGGAAAACAGGUGGUGCAUGGUUGUCGUCAGCUCGUGUCGUGAGAUGUUAGGUUAAGUCCUAAAACGAGCGCAACCCUUGUCGUUAGUUGCCAGCAUGUAACGAUGGGGACUUUAACGAGACUGCCAAUGAAAAAUUGGAGGAAGGUGGGGAUUACGUCAAAUCAUCAUGCCCCUUAUGAUCUGGGCUACAAACGUGAUACAAUGGUUGAUACAAAGAGUAGCUGAAACGCGAGUUCUUAGCCAAUCUCAAAAAAUCAAUCUCAGUUCGGAUUGAAGUCUGCUAA